Molecule: ribosomal RNA, 253 nt
Filed under: uncultured bacterium
Lineage: Bacteria
Description: partial 16S ribosomal RNA
Rfam family: Bacterial small subunit ribosomal RNA
Source: RNAcentral
UACGUAGGUGGCAAGCGUUGUCCGGAUUUACUGGGUGUAAAGGGCGUGCAGCCGGGAGUGCAAGUCAGAUGUGAAAUCCCGCGGCUCAACCGCGGAACUGCAUUUGAAACUGUGCUUCUUGAGUGCUGGAGAGGCAGACGGAAUUCCUAGUGUAGCGGUGAAAUGCGUAGAUAUUAGGAGGAGCACCAGUGGCGAAGGCGGUCUGCUGGACAGUAACUGACGGUGAGGCGCGAAAGCGUGGGGAGCAAACAGG